Molecule: small RNA, 28 nt
Filed under: Bombyx mori (domestic silkworm)
Lineage: Eukaryota; Metazoa; Arthropoda; Insecta; Lepidoptera; Bombycidae
Description: piRNA piR-bmo-2117665
Source: RNAcentral
UACAUAAAAACGUAACUGGAGCUAGAAG